This 1059-nucleotide long non-coding RNA is filed under the name Papio anubis (olive baboon). RNAcentral's name for it is "lncRNA (ENSPANG00000045339.1)". Lineage: Eukaryota; Metazoa; Chordata; Mammalia; Primates; Cercopithecidae. The record is from RNAcentral.
AUGGGGUGGCUCUGCCUGGUGUGGGAUACAGCUACCACCAGUGCUAGAAGAAAACACCACCCCCAGGAUUUGAGCACGAUGAAUUGCCCUGGAGGCUUAAGUCUUGAGCUGGAUGGGCUCAUACGACCCGACCCUGGGAUGAUUUCGGGACUAGGCAAGAACUUCAGAGUUCUGACUGAACAGCAGGGACAAGGGGAAGGAGCUCCACCUGGACUGGGGCAUGAAAGGAACACAACUCACUCCUGGGAUCAGGCCCAACUUCCCCAUGGCAGGAUCUCAGCACAGUGGCACUCAUCCCUCACCCAAGCAUUUUGCCAGCAGCCUAAAGAUCAUUUCAUCCCACCUAUCACGACAUUACACCACUGUGGGGGCCUGAGUGCAAGCUUUCCCAGUCCAACUCUACCAGGCUUUGACGUGGCCCCCGAGAAACAGUGCCAGAUCCAGGUUACCAGGGAAUUCCACAACCAAACCCACUACCUGAAACACUCCGAAACACCAGGGUACUUCUCCCAGGGGACAGAGGUCAGGAAUAACACCCUACCAGUACAGCCUCAGCUGCCUCAUACCUGCAAGUACCACCUUACUGGCCUGGAUCCCACUGCAACCACUGCUAACACAAACAUAAAGUGCUCGGGACCCAGAAGAGUAUCUCAACAAAACUACUACCACCAUAAACUAUGCCACGCCAGUUGCCCAGGAGCUAGAGAGCCAGCUCAUCCACCUGGUACACUAUUACAACAGCCAUCUGAGAAAGUCACUCAGAAGCCCAAGAAUCAGCCUAUCCGGAACUGCCAAGACAGUUACCAGCACAUGCUGCCCCAAGGCACAUGGAUAGACAUGCUUAGCCCACCAUCACUACCAUUGAAACCUAAAGACAGGCCUAUUAGGCAUUCCAAUCACCAGCACAACUUCAGCCUCCACCAAAAAACCGAAGCUAAGACAUCAAGGAAACCACAGAUACCAUUAGUGCUAUUUACAGCCAAAGAAAUCAUACAGAGACUUCACUACUGCGCGCACCCAGAAGCAAGACCAAAGGGCCCUGCCCAACCAACAUUAUAG